This 66-nucleotide transfer RNA is filed under the name chicken gut metagenome. It matches the Rfam family "tRNA", at positions 5 to 66 of the family's 71-position model. Rfam says of the family: Transfer RNA (tRNA) molecules are approximately 80 nucleotides in length. Their secondary structure includes four short double-helical elements and three loops (D, anti-codon, and T loops). Further hydrogen bonds mediate the characteristic L-shaped molecular structure. tRNAs have two regions of fundamental functional importance: the anti-codon, which is responsible for specific mRNA codon recognition, and the 3' end, to which the tRNAs corresponding amino acid is attached (by aminoacyl-tRNA synthetases). tRNAs cope with the degeneracy of the genetic code in two manners: having more than one tRNA (with a specific anti-codon) for a particular amino acid; and 'wobble' base-pairing, i.e. permitting non-standard base-pairing at the 3rd anti-codon position. The record is from RNAcentral.
CAUUAGCUCAGCUGGUAGAGCAGCGGACUCUUAAUCCGUUGGUCGCGGGUUCGAUCCCCUCAUGAC